Molecule: unclassified non-coding RNA, 263 nt
Filed under: plant metagenome
Description: partial contains small subunit ribosomal RNA, internal transcribed spacer 1, and 5.8S ribosomal RNA
Source: RNAcentral
UUUCCGUAGGUGAACCUGCGGAAGGAUCAUUAUUGUAUAACCGAGGUGCGAGGGCUGUCGCUGACCCGAAAGGUCGUGCACGCCCGAGUGCCCUCACACACAUCCAUCUCACCCCUAUGUGCACCACCGCGUGGGUCCCCCUUUGGCUUGUUCGGAGGGGGGCUUACGUUUUCACACAAACUUUGUAUGCAGUGUAGAAUGUAUUUUUUGUUUUUGCGAUCACGCAAUCAAUACAACUUUCAACAAUGGAUCUCUAGGCUCUU